GGUCGCAGAGUCGCGCCAGCAGCCAUUACGUGGCAGCCGCCGCGGUUGUACAGCACACACACGCCUCACACCGCAGAGCCAGGUGCACCCACAGUCAGCCUUUGCAACAGCGAACGUCUCACCCUAAUAGAAGUGAGGCUGGCGGCUGGAAGGACGAUGUCGUCGGCCUCUGCAGCGGCGGAGACGUCCGACUCGGAGGAGGCGGAGAUCGUGGAGGAG
Schistocerca cancellata (South American locust) is the source of this 219-nucleotide long non-coding RNA. RefSeq lists it as uncharacterized. Lineage: Eukaryota; Metazoa; Arthropoda; Insecta; Orthoptera; Acrididae. The transcript has 3 exons. The record is from RefSeq and is a predicted model, not a curated record.